Molecule: long non-coding RNA, 1880 nt
Organism: Bos indicus x Bos taurus (hybrid cattle)
Lineage: Eukaryota; Metazoa; Chordata; Mammalia; Artiodactyla; Bovidae
Source: Ensembl
UGAACACUAUCACUGACAGAAAUGUACAGGAGUGUGCCUGUGCUGAGAAUCUUUUUCUGCAGAAUAUUACGUUUUUUUUCCCUACACAGAACUAGAAUGUCAAGGCCAUGCUAGCGCGUGGUUUUGGCAGAGUGUAUGUUGUGUGUUUUGGCCUAAAGUGUUUCAUGAGCCCAGGGUUAAUUUUGUGCAGGUCAACCUGACCCAGUCAGAAGAAUGUUCUAAGUGUAUGUAAUGUUAAGGUAGUUGAGCCAGUAAUAGACUUUAAUUCCUCUGCUUUGUUCUUAAAAAACAAAACAACACAGUUGGAUAUAAGUUGCUUUCUUUCCACCAGCUCUUAAACCUUGGGGAAGAAAGACUGGUCAGUUAGAAAUUAGGCCAGGCUACAUACAGCAGGAAGCCAAAAAUGGCAGUCACUUAAACACAUAAGGGUUUUUUUUAUUUUCUCACAUCAAAGUCUGGAGGUAAGCAGUUCAAGGCCCAUCGUUAGCUGUCCUCAGUCAUCUCAUUCCACAGAGGAAGGAGGAAAGAGAGGGCAGAGGGAAAGAGGGCGGAAAACAAAAGGGGUUCAGGGCAGCCUUCACCGUGCCUCCCAGGAAGCCCCCACAGAACUCCCUCUUACACCUCACUGGCAGAGAAAUAGUUCCAAAGGCGUCUGGGAAAUGUAGUUUUUUUCCCAAAGGCAAUGAUUCCCAAUGGUAAAUCAUGGUUCUGUUCCUAAGGAAGAAAGUGGACUGCAUAGUGGGGCAAGCAGAUCACAGCCUGUGCCCUACGUGAGACGGCAUCUAUGGAUGUACAGGAUCUUCUGGAGGCUGAGGAGAGAGCACUUUAUAUGCGCUGAGACUUGGCUGCAGCCUCGACAUAUCCCGAGACACAGUCCUGUUUCUCAGCUUCUUGCAGGAUGUCAGCGAGGAGACUCCCGUACUGACCUGCGCUCCAAGAGCGUCUCCAUCCAUCGCCAAGGGGCUAGUGCCGGGUCUGGCCACUCCAUCACGUCAUUCCCUGAUAGCUUUGCUUGCAAUGCUUGCAUGCCCUCCUUCCUCCGUUUAUGUGCCCUGGAUCGUCCCUCUCCUUCCUCUGUGUCUUUCAGACAAAUGAAGAAACCUAGGCUCAGGGAAGAAAGCUCAGAGCCAGAUCGAAUGUGAAUUGAAGCCAUUUUCCUUGCCCCCAGGUUUCCGGGGUUGUCUGUAUUGUUGGAGCUGGACAACUUACGUCAGGGGAGGAAGAGGGAAGAGGUCCUGAAAAGAAGUGAGACUCAGCCAUUUAUAGGGAUCACCCAGCCUACUGUCUUAUUAGUUCUCUGCAGCCACGAAAUUAAAAGACGCUUGCUCCUUGGAAGAAAAGUUAUAAUCAACCUAGACAGCAUAUUAAAAAGCAGAGACAUUACUUUGCCAACAAAGGUCUGUCUAGUCAAAGCUAUGGUUUUUCUAGUAGUCAUGACAGAUGUGAGAGUUGGAUUAUAAAGAAAGCUGAGUGCCGAAGAAUUGAUGCUUUUGAACUGUGGUGUUGGAGAAGACUCUUGAGAGUCCCUUGGGCUGCAAGGAGAUCCAGCCAGUCCAUCCUGAAGGAAAUCAGUCCUGAAUAUUCAUUGGAAGGACUGAUGUUGAAGCUGAAACUGCAGUACUUUGGCCACCUGAUGUGAAGAACUGACUCAUGUGAAAAGACCCUGAUGCUGGGAAAGAUUGAAGGCAGGAGGAGAAUGGCAUAAUAGAGGAUGAGACGGUUGGAUGGCAUCAUCUCCUCAGUGGACAUGAGUUUAAGCAAGCUCUGGGGGUUGGUGAUGGACAGGUAAGCCUGGUGUGCUACAGUCCAUGGGGUCACAAAGAGCCAGACACAACUGAGCAACUGAACUGAACUGAUUUUAAAUUUGAAUAGAAGUCUAG